UCGAGGAUCUUCGGCAAUGGGCGCAAGCCUGACCGAGCGACGCCGCGUGUGCGAUGAAGGCCUUCGGGUUGUAAAGCACUGUCGAGGGGGAGGAAAACCCGCAAGGGUCUGACCUAUCCCUGGAGGAAGCACGGGCUAAGUUCGUGCCAGCAGCCGCGGUAAGACGAACCGUGCAAACGUUAUUCGGAUUCACUGGGCUUAAAGGGCGCGUAGGCGGGCGGCACAGUCAGAGGUGAAAUCUCACGGCCCAACCGUGAAACGGCCUUUGAUACUGGCGGUCUCGAGGGAGGUAGGGGCAUGCGGAACUUCCGGUGGAGCGGUGAAAUGCGUAGAUAUCGGAAGGAACGCCGGUGGCGAAAGCGGCAUGCUGGGCCUUCUCUGACGCUGAGGCGCGAAAGCCAGGGGAGCGAACGGGAUUAGAUACCCCCGUAGUCC
Molecule: ribosomal RNA, 435 nt
Filed under: uncultured bacterium
Lineage: Bacteria
Description: bacterial SSU rRNA
Rfam family: Bacterial small subunit ribosomal RNA
Source: RNAcentral